RNAcentral lists this transfer RNA (76 nucleotides) under Escherichia coli. RNAcentral's name for it is "tRNA-Thr(tgt)". It matches the Rfam family "tRNA". From Rfam's summary of the family: Transfer RNA (tRNA) molecules are approximately 80 nucleotides in length. Their secondary structure includes four short double-helical elements and three loops (D, anti-codon, and T loops). Further hydrogen bonds mediate the characteristic L-shaped molecular structure. tRNAs have two regions of fundamental functional importance: the anti-codon, which is responsible for specific mRNA codon recognition, and the 3' end, to which the tRNAs corresponding amino acid is attached (by aminoacyl-tRNA synthetases). tRNAs cope with the degeneracy of the genetic code in two manners: having more than one tRNA (with a specific anti-codon) for a particular amino acid; and 'wobble' base-pairing, i.e. permitting non-standard base-pairing at the 3rd anti-codon position. RNAcentral also lists the same sequence under 3 other names. Lineage: Bacteria; Pseudomonadati; Pseudomonadota; Gammaproteobacteria; Enterobacterales; Enterobacteriaceae. The record is from RNAcentral.
GCUGGUUUAGCUCAGUGGUAGAGCUUUCGCAUUGUACGCGGAAAGACGAUGGUUCGAUUCCAUUCAGCCAGCACCA